CUCUGUUGUAGAGAAUUUCACUCGAUCGCACUCCUGGUUCGGUCGCAGUAUAGUGUUUGACGCGCAGUCGAAGAAGGCCAGUCGAAGCGGAGCAUAAGAGCAAACGUCGGGUGGACAAUGAAUCGCGCGAUGUUCUCCAAUAUAGCGGUAUAAUGUGAAUAGUGAUAAAUCGACGUGAUAUGGUGCAUAAUCGGAUUGUAAACGCGCGCGGUAAUGUGGAUAAAAAGUAAAAAAGCUAAGAAAAAAGUGCAGUGACUCUACGUUUGAUUGGCAGUGCACGCAGAGCGGCCCUUCGUGUACAUACACAUGUAAUGAGAAACUGACUCGAAAGCAGGAAGGACAGGACAGGAAGAAAGAAAAUGGAGCAUCGGAAGCAAACGAUGAGCUCGACGGAAAUAGCGAAAGCUAACGAGGAGUUCGAUCUGUUUUGCAACGCGACCACAUUGAAAUCGAUUCUGGGACACUACAGGCAUCUCUGCGAGUUGCUCAGGAUCAGGCCGAACGUGAUCAAUCAAUUUUACCCAAAAUUGAAAGCGAAAUUGCGAUCGUGGAAGGCUCAAGCUCUCUGGAAAAAGUUCGAUCAGAGGGCCAAUUACAAAUGCUACAAUCGUGGCAAAGCGUGCCCGAACACGAGGGUGUUGAUCAUCGGAGGGGGGCCGUGCGGCCUUCGUUCGGCGAUAGAGGCGCAAUUGUUGGGAGCCAAGGUUGUCGUAGUAGAGAAACGGGAUCGUAUGUCCAGGAACAACGUCCUCCAUCUGUGGCCGUUCGUCAUCCACGACCUUCGCGCCCUGGGGGCGAAAAAAUUCUUCGGCAAAUUCUGCGCCGGCUCCAUCGAUCACAUAAGCAUUCGACAGCUUCAAUGCAUACUGCUCAAAGUCGCUUUGAUCCUUGGCGUCGAGUUCCACGAGAGCGUCAGUUUCGACGCUCUGAUAUCCCCGCCGGAGAACCAGGAAGAGGGCAAGGUCGGUUGGAGAGCAAAAACCACCCCUGCCGAUCAUCCGGUCUCUCAAUACGAGUUCGAUGUGUUGAUCGGCGCCGACGGGAAGAGAAACACGUUGGAAGGUUUUAAGCGGAAAGAGUUCAGGGGUAAAUUGGCGAUCGCGAUAACGGCCAACUUCAUAAAUAAACGGACCGAGGCGGAAGCCCGGGUGGAAGAAAUUAGCGGGGUCGCCUUCAUCUUUAAUCAAAAGUUUUUUAAAGAAUUGUACCAGGAGACGGGGAUAGAUCUGGAGAAUAUCGUGUAUUACAAAGACGACACUCACUAUUUCGUGAUGACGGCUAAGAAGCACAGCCUGAUCGACAAGGGUGUGAUUUUGCAGGAUCACGCGGACACGGCGAAACUACUCGCCAAGGAAAACGUGGAUCGGGAAGCGUUGAUGCUCUACGCCCGAGAGGCCGCCGAAUUCUCCACCGAGUAUCAAAUGAUCGGUAUGGAAUUCGCGGUGAACCAUUACGGCCAACCAGACGUGGCAAUGUUCGACUUCACCUCGAUGUACGCGGCGGAGAAUGCCAGUCGAAUUUUGGAACGUCGUGGCCAUAAAUUACUUAUGAUCCUGGUCGGCGAUAGCCUGCUCGAGCCGUUCUGGCCGACGGGAUCCGGCUGCGCGAGAGGAUUUCUAAGCUCGUUGGACGCUUGCUGGGCGAUCAAAGGGUGGGGCGCGAACGUGUCGCCGUUGGAAGUGAUCGCCGAGCGGGAGUCGAUUUACAGGCUGCUCGGCCAGACUACGCCUGAGAACUUAAACAGAGAUUACGCCGCGUACACGCUCGAUCCUCAUACCAGAUAUCCCAAUUUGAACGUGUCGUCGGUGACACCGAUACAAGUGCGAAGUCUACUCGACACGGAUGAUCCCGACAGCGUGAAGCAGCCCCCUGUCCAGUCUGAUAUCGAUAUCCCUAAAAAGCGACGUCGUCGGGAUUUGCGUGGAGAUUCGCAAGUGCAUCCGGACACGCUGCUUCGCUGGCUGCAAAAGCAGGUCGCCCUCUACGACUCGGUUCAGAUAAGGGACAUGGGCGCCUCGUUCAAAAAUGGUCUGGCUAUUUGUGCGAUAAUUCACAGAUAUCGUCCAAACCUAAUAGAUUUCCACAAUUUGAAGGCGGACGACGCGGUUACGAACAACCAAUUGGCCUUCGAUAUAUUGGAGAAAGAAUUGGGCAUACCUCCUAUAAUGACAGGGGAGGAAAUGGCCCAGUGCGACGUUCCCGAUAAACUUGCCAUGUUUUCUUACCUCACACAGAUAUACGAGGUUUUCCGCGGUGAAAUCCCGUACAUUAAACAUCCGAAAUUAGAACCUGAAAACGAAGAAAGGCCCGCACAUAGUAAACAAUUGACACCCGAUCAAAAAGUUCAGUUAAUUGACCGUAUCGUCAGGCAAGAUAGCGCAACGAGAACGAGACACUCACGAUCGCGUCAUAACGAAAAUUUAAACCCCGCGGAUAAGAAGGGGGACACGAUUAGCCGACGUUCUCGAAAGAGACGAAGCACGGAGAAGAUGGGCGCGACAGUGGAGGAAAGGCAGAAGAGACUCGCAGAAAUAGAGAAAAAUCGCGCAGAGCGUAUGAGAAGGCGGCAAUAUUUACGAAAUAUGGCGACGCAGCAAUUCUACAAAAGUAUGCAGAUGCUGCAAGCGAACGCAAAACGCGAGAAAGACGAGCCGUUCGAAGAUUAUUCGAUAUUCUUGUAUCGUCAAACUGCACCGGAUUUCAAGGAUAGGGUGAAAUACCUAGAGCAGAAAAUAUUAUAUCCAGAUAGAGAACCUAAGAUUCACGCUGGUCAUCAUAGAAACAGCAUAGACGAAGAGUUCUCCGGUAGAAUAAAGAGCAUCGAAGACAAGCUGAAAGGAUCUACACCGGUCGAGAAGAAACCCAGAGAUCUUCUACGUGCAAUCGGUAAAAUUGAGAAGACCGAUUGGAAUGUGAAGGAAAUCGAGAAGAAAAUCGAAGAGAAUAAAAUGGGUCGUUUGGUUCGACACGACAAAGUAGAACGAGUGCCGAAAUGGAGUCGAGAACAGAUGUGUAUAUGCUUCAUUCAGUUUUUAGCUCGACAAAUCAAGAUGGAGAAGAAGGGACGUGAUCAAAGGGAGACAGAUAGUAAGUACGCUGAUAUUGACAAUACCCUGAAGAAUAUUGACAGGAAGAUCAAAGAGGGUAAUGUGCUUGGGUACAAUAAAGUCUCGGCAAUGGCCGAACAAUUUUCAAAUAAAAGUCAGGACGCGGAGCCCAAGAUGCAGAAAUCGAAUGUCAAGCCCACGAUAACGUUACCUGCUCAAGGAGGUUCAGAAACGUGUCAUUUUUGUAACAAAAGAGUUUAUCUAAUGGAGAGACUUAGCGCCGAAGGGAAAUUUUUCCAUCGAGGAUGUUUCCGUUGCGAAUAUUGUUCUACCUCGUUAAGAAUAGGAAACCAUACGUUUGAUCGGGAUAAAAAUGGAGGACGAUUUUAUUGUACGCAACAUUUUGGUUUCUCAGGAACGUUGAAGACUCGCGUGGAAAAGAAGAAAAUUACGUUGAAUAAAGAAAAUAUACCCGCUGCAACGUCUGUAAAUCUGAAAACACCUGAAAAAGGAAAGAUAUCCCUAGAAGGUGUUGUUGGUCUUGAUUUACUUGAUCGUGGACAAACACCCGAGAGAAUAGAAUUCGAGAAUUUAGCAGGGAUAUCGGACGCUGAAGAACCUCAAAGUCAAAUGGACGAAGAUGAAUGGACGGAUAGGAAUUUCGGGGCUUCUACCGCAGAGAUGGGAUCCAGUGAUGACAUUUCGGAUAUGAGCGAUUCAGACGAUGACAACGAAGUGUACGAAGAGGCAAUAGAUCAACCGUUAACAACCGAAGGAACUCUUGAACUUGCGAAAAAUUGGACGCUACGAUAUUCUCAUCCCCACGCAGCAAUGGGACAAUCUGAUACAGGGAGCAACGAAUAUGAAGAUUCUAGCGAUGAGUAUACGAAUGAAGACGAUGAAAGUACAACUGCUACGGAAGAUGAAGACGACAUACGCGCCCGAGAACUUAGAAAGCAGGAAGUUUGGUUGAAGAAUCCCACACGUAGCUCCGAUACGGACAGCGGUUCAGAAACGGAGGUUGCCUCCGAUGAAGGUACGUCGGAAGAAAGCGAAGAAAACUCAGCUACGGAAAUAUCGACAGAUUCUGAAUUCGAGCACGAUGGCGCAACUCCUACGCAGCACGAGAUCCCAGAAAUCACGAUCAACGAUGCAUACGUGCGGAAAACUAGAGGAAAUUACGUUGAACCAAAGAAAGUUCAAGUGAAAAGUAAAGUGAUUUCCUCGAUCAAUGGUAACCUGAAGCAAGAUAAAGAACUGGACGCGAAAUGCCAAUCAAAAAUGGAUCACAAUAUAAUAAAUCCUUCUCAUCUUGAAAAAGAGAGCAAGCUGAAUUUAUUAGGAUUCAAUAAUAAUACGAACGCAGUCCCAUUGAUAAACCCACGCAAAGGGGAUUACUUAUUGAACCGUACCCACUCCACCGAGGGUAUAGCGUCCAAGCUGUCCUUGGAAUUGAAGAAGAAGUAUUUGCUUGGCGGCACAGCUUUCGGAGGCUCGGUUAUGAAAUCGGGAUCAGCCUCGAACGUCGACACUCAGUUGAGAAAUUUCACGGACGCUAUCUCUCAACACCAAAAACUUUUGAACCCGGCUCCAGAACCGAGCCCCACGAUGCAAGCAUUCCUGCAAGGAACGAGCAAAUUGCGAUCGAACAACGCUCAACUAUCCCCCAUCUCGCCCACGGCUAUAUUCUCAUCCGUGAAACCGUACACGGCGAAUCGAUCCUCCCACAAUUUGUUGAACAAUGACAAUCCUAUUUAUAAGUCGACAAUUUUGCCCGAAAUAUCGAAGACCCAGCUACCGGAUCUGGUCAAGGAAUCCAGUAUAUUAAAAUCGAAAACCACGCCUAACAUCGUGCGCGGCGAGUCCAAGGACGUGGAGAAUAAAGAAAUUGCGAAAGAGCAAGCGGUUCCUGGCCAAUUGCAAAAUAAUUUCGCAGCGAGCACGGACGAGAACAAUGGUUUCCGGCCACGAAGCCCUUUGCACGAAACCUCGAUCAUCGUGCCUCAAGUCGAUUGGAGCAAGAACACGGAGGAAAGGAAAGAGGCGGCUAGUAGCGGGGAUUCGGAGAUGGACAGCGAUUCUCUGUCCUCCGGGGAUGGCGAGGCGGAGGAGGAAGGGCAAGAUCGAUCGCCAGCUGUUGUUAAUUUGUCCCCACCCCGUUUACAAAUUCACAGUACGGAUGGGGAUCUUCUGUUGGACGAAGAAGCCGAGAGAUGUAACAAAGAUUUCCAGGUGGAUGACGGCCAGUCGUUCGAGCCCGAUUCCAUAGAGUGUUCGUUUCUACGGGAUAAAGGACAGUCGAACGAUAGGAUCGGUUCUGGGGUGAAUAAAACCUCGAUGGAGCUGGAGUUAGUGAAGAACGAAAUCGAGCAAUUGGAGUUGCAGGACGACGGUAGGAAGAGUAUUAGCAAUUGCAGUACACCUACGUCGAUAACCUCUGCCAUUUCGAAUAAACACGAUGAUUCCGAAGAGAACGACGUGACGACAGCGGCCCUUACCGAGACGGAAUUCUCAGAGUGGGCCCGUGACGGGGAAGUUUUGGUCUCGGAUGAUCUACGGGACGUUGAGUUCAAUAUCAAUCCGGAAUUCAUAACGACGAGGAGAAAAGCUGGAUUGUCGGAUGCUUCGAAGAUAGGCCGUAAACCAAUUACGAUAGCCAAAGAGGAAGAUUUAACGGAUAUGGACUUCUUCGAUUCUUCCAAGUUGGAUAAACAGUUGUUGUUGGACGUUCCUGUUAACGAUACCUCGAAACUCUUAGCCAAUGGCGAGAAUAUAGAUUUUAUGGACACGGAUAACGAGUCGUUGUUGGACGAUAGUUUGCAAGAUGCUUCUAAUAUGGUGAUGCUCAAAAAUAGGGGAUACGUGGAAUUUGUUAAUGUUAAAAGCGCUUCGACACCGGUCACAAGUUCGCAAGAUAAAUCGACCGCUGACGCUCCUAUUGCGAAAUUAGAGAAUGAUUCGGAGGAAGAAGGUUACUACGAUAAGAACGUGAUAGAAAUAAAUCCAAUUACCAUGGAUGAUGUUAUGAACAAAUUGAACGGGUCUGCGAAUAAGUCUGAGAGCGAUAGUUGCAAGACAAAUGCGGAAAUAAAAUCGAAUUCCGUUCAACAAGAUCAAUCUAUCGCGGAAGCGGUGAAUAAAGAGUUAUUUCAAUCGAUGGAAGAAGAUAGCUUGCUUAUCGUUGAACCCGCCGAGGACACCACCACCAGCGAGGUGGUCACCAUUCUUGCUAGCCCCGUGAAUCCACAAGUUUCAAUGAUCGCGGCUCAAACUGAAAAACAAUCUGAGCAGGAAACGAAAACGACGACCGAUUUGAACAAUCCUGAUUAUUUGGAAUACGUGAAGCGUCUCCAAUCCAGAAUCGCUGAAUUUAGCAAUGCCAAAGAUUCUAUAGAUGUGAGGAAAUCGAAAAGGAAGAAUUCAAAAAGUUCGCUGCAAUCUCGCACGGCCGAGAUGAUAGCAGAGGAAAUUAAGAAUCAAGAAACUACGGUAAGUAAUAGUUUCAAUUCGCCGGCUACGUCGAGAAAAUUGGAAGAAAUUACGAGGGAAAGAUUCAAGCAGAAAAACGUGAUACAAGAUUUAUUGAUGGAUAAAGUAGAAGCUCAUAAACAGAAAUCCGCCGAGAAAAAGGCAAGAAGAGCUGCUAGAGCCUCGUCUUUCAAUUCAACUUCUGCCUUAUCGCCAAUAAGACCAUCCGUUCCUGGUAGUUCGUUAGUUAAUAAAUUUGUACCUACAUCCAUAGUAACACCUGAAAAUAGUCCCUUGCAUAAUAUCGGCUCUGCUGAAAGUAAACAGCCCGUGGAAAUUAAGAAAUCUUACGAAAGCCAGCAAUUGCCUUGGAAAUCGGAGACUGAGAAGUUUAUAAAUGAGGAAAGUAAUAAUAAUAAUGAUAUUCGAUCUUGCGAAAAUAUCACAUUGAUUAAAACAGCUAAUGAAACGGAAAACAACUUUAGAACGCCAGUUGCACCCCCAAGAUUGAAGCAUGAGGAGGCAAAGAGGACGGCAGAGAAAGCGAGGCAAGAUGCGAGGGAAAGGGCUAGAUUGAAGAGCGAUGAAGAUCUGGGUCUCAGUCCGGAAGAUAAAAUCAAAGAGUUGAGAAUGAAAGUGGCGCGAAGGCAACUUUCAAUGGAAGAGAGGAAAACUAAUGAAGAAACACAGCCUGAUGAUCCUCGCAUAAGACUUUAUACUUAUGGAGCAAACAAGACUGAAUUAAAAUUGCAAACGAGCAAAAGUACGGACAAUAUGAAAGCUGUAGCCGAGGCGAUCAAUUUCAGUGGUUUAUCUACUGCCAGUGCGAAAUCAAUGGAUGAAUUAUUACACGCUGAUUCUCCCAAAUCAAACAGCUCAAUAAUAAAAAGGGAUAAGAAACAAAAAACGAAAGAUCCGGAAAGAAGAAAAAGUAUCAUUCAAGCUGUCUCAGAUUUCUUCUUUAAAAAGGAAUCUUCCCCUUCGCCGUCCAAUCAAAAAGACAAAUUAUCUAUGUUCCGUCUAACGUCAAAGACGAAAGGCAAAUUAUGUAAAUCGUAUUCGGAAGGGUCAGAUGUAAGCAACUCAUAAGUCAUUGAUACUAAUUUUUCCAGUAUUAGCUUUCUUAUGCCACUAUUUGUAUUCGCUAUUGUAUAUCGUGCAGCUUGAUAAAGUCUUAUCACCGAAAAUGAACGCAAGACCAAAAAGUGUUUGCGAAGGUAUGCUCGCAAGAAACUUUUUAAAUGAAAAUCCGCCGCCAAUUCCACCGCCACCUCUUAUUUAUACCAUUCCUACUACACAAAUCUCAGAUGAUAGUUUAUCGGAUGAUGACACAAAAACAACAGCAGUGUCGACGUCAUGCAUACAUAAAGCCACAAUAACAGAAGGUUCAUGUAAUAGUAUUUCACGUAAAACAAAAACUAC
This 7937-nucleotide unclassified non-coding RNA is filed under the name Apis florea (little honeybee). RNAcentral describes it as "f-actin-monooxygenase Mical, transcript variant X7". Lineage: Eukaryota; Metazoa; Arthropoda; Insecta; Hymenoptera; Apidae. The record is from RNAcentral.